This 379-nucleotide ribosomal RNA is filed under the name uncultured eukaryote. RNAcentral describes it as "partial 18S ribosomal RNA". It matches the Rfam family "Eukaryotic small subunit ribosomal RNA", at positions 592 to 976 of the family's 1831-position model. The record is from RNAcentral.
CAAUAGCGUAUAUUUAAGUUGUUGCAGUUAAAAAGCUCGUAGUUGGAUUUCGGAUGGGACUUGCCGGUCCGUCGUUUCGAUGUGCACUGGCCAGUCCUAUCUUGUUGUCGGGGACUAGCUCCUGGGCUUCACUGUCCGGGACUAGGAGCUGACGAGGUUACUUUGAGUAAAUUAGAGUGUUCAAAGCAAGCCUACGCUCUGAAUACAUUAGCAUGGAAUAAUACGAUAGGACUCUGGCUUAUCUUGUUGGUCUGUGAGACCAGAGUAAUGAUUAAGAGGGACAGUCGGGGGCAUUCGUAUUUCAUUGUCAGAGGUGAAAUUCUUGGAUUUAUGAAAGACGAACUUCUGCGAAAGCAUUUGUCAAGGAUGUUUUCAUUAA